RNAcentral lists this ribosomal RNA (17 nucleotides) under Melanoleuca pseudoluscina. RNAcentral describes it as "partial 18S ribosomal RNA". Lineage: Eukaryota; Fungi; Basidiomycota; Agaricomycetes; Agaricales; Pluteaceae. The record is from RNAcentral.
UGGAGGGAGGUAUCUUA